GAUGGAACAGACGAGGAAAAGAGAUUGGGCGGCACGGUAGUUUUGAAAAGCUUAACAAAUACCUAUCUUUCAGCAUUCAGGAAGGUCCUUCAUGCCUUUAAGGAGUAUAAAUGUGAUAUUAAAGGUCAUGAAGUUGUCAUGCAUAUAUAGAAUAUGUCGCUCGAGUAAGUUCAACAGACACUUGGCCUAGAAACUGAACGCAUCAAAUACAGUUCUGUUUAAGUAGGCUGUAAUUUAGGAGAGGCAAUUUUAGUUAGAGCAGAAUGUUUGUUGCGAAUGACAUCACUUAAUUCUUGUUUGUCUCAUUUGUUAGUUAUUUGUUAGUCAUGUCCAGUUUUAUUAGGUGGCAACUUUUCAGUGUUUAGUUGGCGUAAUAUAAUAUUUUAAUUAAAAUGGGGAGACUGAAACUACCGUAGAAUUGACAUUUCAUCCAAGAUAUGACGUGUCUUAACUACCGUGCCUCUCGACUGUAAGAUACAGGGGCGUCACUUGUGAAAGCCCGUCUGUUUACAGUAUAAUGUCAUGUAUAUUAAGCUGCAACGCGUACUUUUAUGGUUGCAAUUUGCUUUGUGGGUAUAGUAGUCUGAUGCCCGCCACCAGAUGACUACCUGAAAUAUUACUACAUAUUUCGCUGUAGACUGUAUUUAUUUUAAAAUAGUCUGUCACUGAGGUCUAAUGUGUUACGUUUACUGAAGAAAUGCUGAAAUAUUGGUUAUAGAUAUUUGUUUCGAGUAUUAAACAUGAAAUGUGGACCCGAGGGAUGGAGAAAAUGACAAGUUUCUUUUCUCAGAAGCUUCUUUUGCUGUGUGAGUGAAAAUGACUUGGAGCAGCACAAACGUUUAAAUUAAGUAGCACUCGUAGAAGUGCAUUCAACUGUUCUUUUCUUUGAGGGUCGGGGGGUCCGGAGCCUAUCCCGAAGGCAACAAGCACAAGGCAGGGAACAACCCAGGAUGGGGCCCUGGGAGGAUUCAAGAAUUUGGCUAGAAAUCCAUUUACUGAUAAUGUUUACAUGUUGGAAUAAUCCUGCUGCAAACGUCCAAUGUAUUUGGUGUACAUAGGGCAGCAGAAAAUCUCUGCUACUGAUGAUGGUCCAAUCUCUAAGACCUGUUGGAUGAAACCAACAGCAGAUUACAACAUUUCCUUUAUGACUAAAUAUAUUUUGAAAAUUAUUAUGCAUUAAUGGGUAACAUAUAAAUUUAAAGCUGGGACGUGAUGCAGCUAUAAUUAAAAUCAUAUUCAGUAAAAAAUGUUCAUGGCCCUUGUUAUACUUGUAUUUUAUAUAUCAGGUAUAGAUGUUGUUGUGAAGCAACGUAGUAUGUUGUCAUUGUAACCGAUGCGCAAACUGGGUCACAUUGGUCCAGAUUGUGUGAAAUAUAUGUAAAAUAUGAAAAAACAUAAUUUGUCUUCAUUAUAGGUACUCAAAUCACAAUUUCAGAGCCAGGGUAUAUAUUGCAAGUUCUUUAUGCACAUUGUUUAAAUUAAAGUAACUAUAGUGGACGAUAAUACGUCAGAUUCAUUAGAGUUUAAUUCGAAUUUAAACGCAAGCGAGAGAUGCAUCUGAUUUUAUUGCGACCGGCACGAAGAAUCUGUAUUGAAUCGUAAUGUUCUUAACCAAAUAUUUAUUUAGAAUAGCACGUUAAGGAAAGUCGUGGUAUUGAUUGAGCAGAGGCUGAUGGAUACCGUCUUCUUCUUUGCGCUAAGUCCUUCACCUCGCUAUACGGAAGUUGAACUCAGCAUCCCUGCGAGAGAGAAAACAAUCUUGUCUGACCCCUUCGCUUUCAGAUUAACUUGCUGAGCAUCAUCAAAUGGCUCGUAAGAGUGUUUUUUUACAGCUCGCCUUUCUUCUGAUUGCAUCUAAUUUAAAACUAUCUUCAAUUAUUGUUGUGACAAAAUCCAUGCAGUUGUUGUAAUAGUGUCCCUUGAUGAUCUCAUUAUUUCCCUGUGAUGGCUUGAUUCAAAUGGCUUUGUUUACUCAGACUGGGUGGGAUAUCAAGAAUGAAGUUCUUCCUAAAGAGAGCUAAAGUUUAAAUGUGAAAUUCGCUGUUUUAUGGCAAGUGAAGGAGAACGGCGUUUAUAGCAUUUUUACUGCAGUCAAUUAUUUUAUACAACCGCUAUUGCAUAUCAUGUACGCUUUUGCAGUAUGCUGUGUUUUAUGCAUUGUAAUACCCAUAGAUUAAAUUUAAAUUUCGAAAUUGUA
Long non-coding RNA from Paramormyrops kingsleyae, 2197 nucleotides. RefSeq lists it as uncharacterized. NCBI's taxonomy places the organism in Eukaryota, Metazoa, Chordata, Actinopteri, Osteoglossiformes, Mormyridae. The record is from RefSeq and is a predicted model, not a curated record.